CGCAUACGUCCUACGGGAGAAAGGGGGCUUUGGCUUCCGCUAUUGGAUGAGCCUAUGUCGGAUUAGCUAGUUGGUGAGGUAAUGGCUCACCAAGGCAACGAUCCGUAGCUGGUCUGAGAGGAUGAUCAGCCACAUCGGGACUGAGACACGGCCCGAACUCCUACGGGAGGCAGCAGUGGGGAAUAUUGGACAAUGGGGGCAACCCUGAUCCAGCCAUGCCGCGUGUGUGAAGAAGGCCCUCGGGUUGUAAAGCACUUUCAGCGAGGAAGAACGCCUAGCGGUUAAUACCCGCUAGGAAAGACAUCACUCGCAGAAGAAGCACCGGCUAACUCCGUGCCAGCAGCCGCGGUAAUACGGAGGGUGCAAGCGUUAAUCGGAAUUACUGGGCGUAAAGCGCGCGUAGGUGGCUUGAUAAGCCGGUUGUGAAAGCCCCGGGCUCAACCUGGGAACGGCAUCCGGAACUGUCAGGCUAGAGUGCAGGAGAGGAAGGUAGAAUUCCCGGUGUAGCGGUGAAAUGCGUAGAGAUCGGGAGGAAUACCAGUGGCGAAGGCGGCCUUCUGGACUGACACUGACACUGAGGUGCGAAAGCGUGGGUAGCAAACAGGAUUAGAUACCCUGGUAGUCCACGCCGUAAACGAUGUCGACCAGCCGUUGGGUGCCUAGCGCACUUUGUGGCGAAGUUAACGCGAUAAGUCGACCGCCUGGGGAGUACGGCCGCAAGGUUAAAACUCAAAUGAAUUGACGGGGGCCCGCACAAGCGGUGGAGCAUGUGGUUUAAUUCGAUGCAACGCGAAGAACCUUACCUACCCUUGACAUCCUGCGAACCCGGAAGAGAUUCCGGGGUGCCUUCGGGAACGCAGAGACAGGUGCUGCAUGGCUGUCGUCAGCUCGUGUUGUGAAAUGUUGGGUUAAGUCCCGUAACGAGCGCAACCCUUGUCCUUAUUUGCCAGCGAGUAAUGUCGGGAACUCUAAGGAGACUGCCGGUGACAAACCGGAGGAAGGUGGGGACGACGUCAAGUCAUCAUGGCCCUUACGGGUAGGGCUACACACGUGCUACAAUGGCCGGUACAAAGGGCUGCGAGCUCGCGAGAGUCAGCGAAUCCCUUAAAGCCGGUCUCAGUCCGGAUCGGAGUCUGCAACUCGACUCCGUGAAGUCGGAAUCGCUAGUAAUCGUGAAUCAGAAUGUCACGGUGAAUACGUUCCCGGGCCUUGUACACACCGCCCGUCACACCAUGGG
This 1237-nucleotide ribosomal RNA is filed under the name uncultured Halomonas sp. RNAcentral's name for it is "bacterial SSU rRNA". It matches the Rfam family "Bacterial small subunit ribosomal RNA", at positions 170 to 1408 of the family's 1533-position model. Lineage: Bacteria; Pseudomonadati; Pseudomonadota; Gammaproteobacteria; Oceanospirillales; Halomonadaceae. The record is from RNAcentral.